UCCGAGUUGACCCCGGCAGUCUCCUACGAGUCCCCGGCAUGACCCGCUGGCAACAUAGAACGAGGGUUGCGCUCGUUGCGGGACUUAACCCAACAUCUCACGACACGAGCUGACGACAACCAUGCACCACCUGUAUACCGACCUUGCGGGGAGAACAUUUCUGAACUUUUCCGGGAUAUGUCAAACCCAGGUAAGGUUCUUCGCGUUGCAUCGAAUUAAUCCACAUGCUCCGCCGCUUGUGCGGGCCCCCGUCAAUUCCUUUGAGUUUUAGCCUUGCGGCCGUACUCCCCAGGCGGGGCGCUUAAUGCGUUAGCUACGGCACGGAUCCCGUGGAAGGAAACCCACACCUAGCGCCCACCGUUUACGGCGUGGACUAC
RNAcentral lists this unclassified non-coding RNA (377 nucleotides) under uncultured Actinomycetes bacterium. RNAcentral's name for it is "uncultured actinobacterium contains 16S-23S intergenic spacer region". The record is from RNAcentral. Lineage: Bacteria; Bacillati; Actinomycetota; Actinomycetes.